CGCCGCCCCGGCCCCGUCUGCGCACGCGCCCUAACGUUCGCAGACUUCCCGUUGUCAAGCGGGAGGGAGGAGGCGCCAGGGCGCGCGCUUGCCCGCGACCCAGCGGGAUCGAGCUCUUGCGCAUGCUCAAAGCCCGCGCUGCGUGGGACUCCACAGGGCCGGCGGAGAGCUUCCGUUAACAGGAGUUUGCGGUCAGCACACGGUUGUGAUGGGAAACGUGUGUAACAGCCGAAGUACACUGGACGAACGUUCGUGAUUCCCAAGGGCUACGAAAAGAGUCGCAAAAGCAGAGGAAACACUUUUGGAUGCUGACUAGCGCCCCAUGGGACUCCUGGGCGCGGAGGCCUUUUUGUCCCUUUUUUGUUUAUUUGGCUUUCCUGGUGGCUCAUACGGCAAGACUCCAGCCUCCAUGAUCUCUCACUUCCAAAAGGCAGCCGUCAACGUCAACAGUUAAGAGUAGUGUCUGACUCUGCAACCCAAUGGACUGCUGCCUACCAAGCUCCUCUGUCCAUGGGAUUCUCCAGGCAAGAGUACUGGAGUGAGUUGCCAUUUCCUUCUCCAGAGGAUCUUCCCAAGCCAGGGGUGGAACCCAGGUCUCCUGCAUUGCAGGCAGAUUGCUUUCUCCUGCACUGUAAAAGGCAGGAACAGUUCCUAAUCAAAGGAGGAACAGCGACGAAAUCACCACAGGCAGGAUUUAAGGACCAGCGAAGUUCACCAAGAUUAGGAGACGAAUAUUUUGGCUCGGACCUGUGCCUCCUGCGUCCUUCAUUGGCAGGCAGAUUCUUUGCCGCUGACCACCAGGGAAGCCCCGCGUCACUCCUGAUCAUGCACAAAGCUGUUUUCUUGGGGUCUGCUUUCCUCAAAACUGUUCACCACUUUCUGUACAACAACUUUAUUUUUUCCAAUCAAACAGUCAGCUGUAAGUCAGAGCGAUUUCCUUUUCCCUCGAUAAAAUUCAACUCCAUUCCACAUGCCAUCUUGACUGAUAACUUACACCCUGGUUUCCUAUUGUUUGCUGAAAAUUUUUUAUUUCUGUUAGCUUUAAUCACAUACUUAAAUUAGAAUCCUCAUCUCUUAAAACCUUCAUUUCCUGUGAAAACUAAGAAGUAAGCAAUUAAUGUCCUCUGCAUUAGUAUUUUGGAGACUAGUAACAAAUACCGUUAUAAUUUCUAAAAAAAAAAAAAAAAAUGCUUUCAGAUUGAGAACAUCGCAGGGCGGCACCAAACACAUUCAUUAAUAGUUUUAAAUAUCUUUAGUUUCUCUGUAAAAGUAAGUCAA
This is a long non-coding RNA of Bubalus bubalis (water buffalo), 1278 nucleotides long. RefSeq lists it as uncharacterized. The transcript has 2 exons. Lineage: Eukaryota; Metazoa; Chordata; Mammalia; Artiodactyla; Bovidae. The record is from RefSeq and is a predicted model, not a curated record.